ACUCCUACGGGAGGCAGCAGUGGGGAAUCUUCGGCAAUGGGGGCAACCCUGACCGAGCCAUGCCGCGUGAGUGAAGAAGGUUUUCGGAUUGUAAAACUCUUUCGUCGGGGACGAUAAUGACGGUACCCGAAGAAGAAGCCCCGCUAACUUCUGUUGCCAGCAGCCGCGGUAAUACGAAGGGGCUAGCGUUGUUCGGAAUUACUGGGCGUAAAGCGCGCGUAGGCGGAUUGGAAAGUUGGGGGUGAAAAUCCCGGGGCUCAAACCCCGGAACUGCCUCCAAAACAUCCCAGUCUUGCAGGUGUGAGAGAGGCGAGUGGAAUUUCCGAGUGUAGAGGUGAAAUUCGUAGAUAUUCGGGAGGAACACCAGUGGCGAAGCGGCUCAGCUGGCUCACAACUGACG
Molecule: ribosomal RNA, 400 nt
Filed under: uncultured bacterium
Lineage: Bacteria
Description: bacterial SSU rRNA
Rfam family: Bacterial small subunit ribosomal RNA
Source: RNAcentral